Molecule: non-coding RNA, 81 nt
Organism: Oryza punctata
Lineage: Eukaryota; Viridiplantae; Streptophyta; Magnoliopsida; Poales; Poaceae
Source: Rfam
AGCUCAGUGAUUGCAGCCACUUACAUUGGCAAUAUACGCUAUACAGACCAUAGUUUGAUGACGAAUGAGAAUAUGAGAGCU